AUGCAUCUUCAGGGCAGGGUGAAAUUCCCGAUCGGCGGUACAGUCCGCUAGCCUCGCGAGCGAUCGCGCGGCCGAACCGGUGAGAUUCCGGUACCGACAGUCAUAGUCUGGAUGGAAGAAGUUUGCG
Molecule: non-coding RNA, 127 nt
Filed under: Bifidobacterium callitrichos
Lineage: Bacteria; Bacillati; Actinomycetota; Actinomycetes; Bifidobacteriales; Bifidobacteriaceae
Description: FMN sequence
Rfam family: FMN riboswitch aptamer (RFN element)
About the family: The RFN element is a highly conserved domain that is found frequently in the 5'-untranslated regions of prokaryotic mRNAs that encode for flavin mononucleotide (FMN) biosynthesis and transport proteins.
Source: RNAcentral